RNAcentral lists this ribosomal RNA (310 nucleotides) under uncultured bacterium. RNAcentral describes it as "bacterial SSU rRNA". It matches the Rfam family "Bacterial small subunit ribosomal RNA", at positions 29 to 336 of the family's 1533-position model. The record is from RNAcentral.
AGUGAACGCUGGCGGCAGGCCUAACACAUGCAAGUCGAACGGCAGCACAGCAGAGCUUGCUCUGUGGGUGGCGAGUGGCGGACGGGUGAGGAAUACGUCGGAAUCUGCCUAUUUGUGGGGGAUAACGUAGGGAAACUCACGCUAAUACCGCAUACGCCCUACGGGGAAAGCGGAGGACCUUCGGCGUUCGCGCAGAUAGAUGAGCCGACGUCGGAGUUAGCAGUUGGCGGGUAAAGGCCCACCAAGGCGACGAUCCGUAGCUGGUCUGAGAGGAUGAUCAGCCACACUGGAACUGAGACACGGUCCAGAC